Long non-coding RNA from Lemur catta (Ring-tailed lemur), 2233 nucleotides. RefSeq lists it as uncharacterized. The transcript has 2 exons. The record is from RefSeq and is a predicted model, not a curated record. Lineage: Eukaryota; Metazoa; Chordata; Mammalia; Primates; Lemuridae.
CGCGCGAAGGGGAGGAAGCUGUUCUACGGAAUGUCAUUCUGGAGGCAGGACAGGGAGGCCCGUGAGUCCCCAGUCAGGGCUGUGUUGUCGUGGCAACCACAGACUCAUCCUCUCUGGGAUGCUCGACCCCUGUUUUAGAAAGAAGGUAAAAACCUCAGUGGUUCACCUGGUACACAUAAAGGCUGGAGGGAAGAAAUGAUGGAAGCCAAUAAGGAAAAGAAGACGCUCAUGGAAAGAAAAAAUGUCUAGCCAGGAGGCUCUCUGGCCGGCUGUGUGGCCUUGAGUAGGUAAAGUGGCUUUUCUGAGCUUCAGUUUUCUCAUGUAGAAAACAACACUGUUCAUACCUGUCCUAUAGGACUGUAAUUAGGAUUAUUGAGAGGGAGGAAUCUUUUUGGUUCCUGGCCUUUACCGCUCACCUCCCUUCUGGGGUGGAGUCACCUUGAAGCUCACUUUGCCUAUUCUUAGCUGAUUCCUCCUCUCAUUUCCUUCCUAUUCUUCCUCUUUACCAUACUCCCUCCUUCCCUUCUAUCAACGGGACUUCCCCGGCUCUGUAAUUCACUCUAAGCGAUUUGAGCCUUUGGCUUAAGCUUAGCUUCUCUGCACUUUCAGUGAGAAGCCACAAACCAAGGGAGCUUGGUGGGGGCAGCCUAGCUGUUGUGGUUGUGCUGAUUGGGGGGGGGUUUCAAACUCAGUUUUCCAUCCCGGUUCUGUAACAAACAAACCACAUGAUGUUGGGCAAGUGACUUAUGCUCUUGAGGUUCUGCUCUUGUCGCAAGAAAUUAAAAGGGUGGGAUUAAAUCAAGAUUUCUUAAUGGAAAUACCUGACAUAUCCUUUGUAACCUCUGGAUGUACACACCAGCCCAGAAGAUUUUGCCCAGGUUUACUUUCUAAAGUAUUGCCCCCCUACAUCUGCCAAAGAGGACGUUUAUUUUAGAUUCUCAAGAUGUAGAAUGGAUACCAUGAUAAUAUGCUUUGAUCCAAUGCUCUUCCAAACCACAUUUCCACUCCCUGUUCUGGCAGGUCCCUCGGGGCCCUUUCUAGCUCCCUGUAUGAGCAGUAUUGUCACAUAAAGGGACAACUCUGCAGCCAGGCAUCCCAAACCCCAAUCCUGUCUCUGUCACGUAGCCACCUAGAAAACCUUAGAAAAGACACUGAAGAACUCCGGGCAGUUUACUCAUCUGAACACCAGCAUCACAGUUAAUCAAAGUAACUUCUUCAUAGUGUAUUGAAAAGACCAAAAGAUGAUACAUGACAUGAGUUGGAAACAAUGUCCCUCAGAGAAGGCUCCUCCGACCUCCGUAUUUAAAACCGCAGUCGCCUCCACUCCCUGUAGCCCUUCGCUGCUUCAUUGUUGUUUCCUCCGUAGGACUUAUCGCCACUCGACAUACUGUAUAUUUCACUUAUUAUUGCUCCUCCCCCCACUGGAGUGUAAGUUACACAAGAGCAGAGUUCGCUGCUGUUGUCACUGUAGUUGUUUUCCCGCUGCAUUUACGACGGGUACCAUGGUGUCCGACACACAAUAAGCUCUAAAUAAAUCUGUGUUGGUUGAAUGAAUGAAUGAAUGAAUGCCCAGCCCGUGGUAAGCACUCAGUAAAUACCUGCUGUUACUGUCAUGUCUGAAUUAUUCUCUAUCAUGAAAAAAUAUUCUUUCCGUUUUCUACUUUUCAUAGUUGCUUUAUUGUCUCCCGACUCCAUUGGCUCAAUGUUUAUCUCUGUAAAUGUUGCCCUCUUGUAGCUCAGGUGCACGAAAUUAGAGCAAUCGUCAUGACUGAUCCACGUAACACCCUCUUUCUUUUAUUUUAUUCCCUCCUAAGAAUAAAGUAAAAAAUGAUUUUGUACAUAAUUUGUUUUUCAAAAGUGAUGGUGUGCUACCCUGCAACCACAUAUUAAUGAGAAGAAAAAAGGCUGAUCCAGACUUGAAAAUUAAAAUUAAUUAUUGUAAUAUUUCCCCUUUCUAAAUAGUAAAAAGCUUUGAUUGUACGAGAAAUACCUAUGCUAAUGGAUGGGGUUUUUUUCUUGAACAACUUUGGAAAAUGGAUUUGACAGUACAUAAUCAGUUCUACUAACCAAAGCUUUAUUUGGAAAUUUACUUUUUGUACAAAUUGAAUUAUAUAAUGCUUGAAAUACUUUAAGUCACUUUAUAAGCAAAAUGUAUAUCACUUAAUUUGUAAAGUAUACUGUAAAGUAUAUGUUAAAUGCUUUUAUCAAUUUGAGAAUAAAAAGUUACUAAUGC